This 459-nucleotide ribosomal RNA is filed under the name uncultured bacterium. Its description in RNAcentral is "partial 16S ribosomal RNA". It matches the Rfam family "Bacterial small subunit ribosomal RNA", at positions 338 to 795 of the family's 1533-position model. The record is from RNAcentral.
CCUACGGGUGGCUGCAGUGAGGAAUAUUGGUCAAUGGGCGCGAGCCUGAACCAGCCAAGUCGCGUGAGGGAAGACGGUCCUAUGGAUUGUAAACCUCUUUUGUCGGGGAGCAAAAGACGCCACGCGUGGCGUUCCGAGAGUACCCGAAGAAAAAGCAUCGGCUCAAUCCGUGCCCGCAGCCGCGGUCCUAAGGAGGAUGCGAUCGUUAUCCGGAUUUAUUUGGUUUAAAGGGUGCGCAGGCGGAAGAUGAAGUCAGCGGUAAAAUUGAGAUGCUCAACCUCUUCGAGCCGUUGAAACUUGUUUUCUUGAGUGAGCGAGAAGUAUGCGGAAUGCGUGGUGGAGCGGUGAAAUGCAGAGAUAUCACGCAGAACUCCGAUUGCGAAGGCAGCAUACCGGCGCUCAACUGACGCUCAUGCACGAAAGUGUGGGUAUCGAACAGGAUUAGAUACCCCAGUAGUC